GCUUAUGCGUUGUUGGGUAGGGGAGCGUUCUGUAAGCCUGUGAAGGUGUGUCGUGAGGCAUGCUGGAGGUAUCAGAAGUGCGAAUGCUGACAUAAGUAACGAUAAAGCGGGUGAAAAGCCCGCUCGCCGGAAGACCAAGGGUUCCUGUCCAACGUUAAUCGGGGCAGGGUGAGUCGACCCCUAAGGCGAGGCCGAAAGGCGUAGUCGAUGGGAAACGGGUUAAUAUUCCCGUACUUGGUGUUACUGCGAAGGGGGGACGGAGAAGGCUAUGUUGGCCGGGCGACGGUUGUCCCGGUUUAAGCGUGUAGGUGUGUGUUCCAGGUAAAUCCGGUUCACUUUAACACUGAGGCGUGAUGACGAGGCACUACGGUGCUGAAGUAACAAAUGCCCUGCUUCCAGGAAAAGCCUCUAAGCAUCAGGUAACAUCAAAUCGUACCCCAAACCGACACAGGUGGUCAGGUAGAGAAUACCAAGGCGCUUGAGAGAACUCGGGUGAAGGAACUAGGCAAAAUGGUGCCGUAACUUCGGGAGAAGGCACGCUGACACGUAGGUGAAGUGAUUUACUCAC
Molecule: ribosomal RNA, 568 nt
Filed under: Salmonella enterica
Lineage: Bacteria; Pseudomonadati; Pseudomonadota; Gammaproteobacteria; Enterobacterales; Enterobacteriaceae
Description: partial 23S ribosomal RNA
Rfam family: Bacterial large subunit ribosomal RNA
Source: RNAcentral